UGUAACUAUAUAUUUUGUUGUACAAAGGACUUCCCAUUCAGUUUGUAUAGUCAACACCAGUCUAGUUAAUCUUUGCUCUUGCUGUUUUUCCAACCUUGUAACAUUAAUGGUGUUGUAUUAGUCCAUGUUCUUAUAUUGGCUUACAUUUUACCAUCACGAGUUUAGUCUAACACCAUGUAUUUCUUCCUAUGUUUUGGUCUGGUUCAUGGUUGGUGAAAUUGCUAACAGAUGGAGGUAUGUGACUUUCUUUCCAUUUAACCUUAUUCAUGAUUAGUAUAUUUUUUACUAGUUAUUGUAGGAGUCUCACACUGAUAUGCUGAUAUACACAUGUCAGGGUGAUACUAAGAGAUCUGCUAGGGGAGGGGAGGGAUCAGCUAAGAAGGAUCCGGACAUUGGAUCUGAUCAGCCUUCAAAUUAGCAGUAUGCUCAAGGCAUGGGCUACCUGAACUCCCAAGUUUGAAAAAUCUAUGCUGAAGCUGUGGCAAUCUCUCUGGAUUCAAAUUUUGUUGCUGCCCUAGAUUCUAGCUGAUCGGCGUAUGACUUCGUUUCUCAGGAAAUUCGCGCGGCUUCUAGUUAAUUUUCAUGCAAGGGAAUUAUCAGUUUCUGUUUAUGGAUGCUACUAUGUGUCUCUGUUACUGUUUACAUACAUAGUAAUUACCUUACAAGUUACAACUUAUAUUGGUUUUUUAUUAUUAGACAUAUAGUGCCCUAUUUUCCUUUCUCCAGCAUUUCGUGUCAUGGGGAGGAAGUAUAGGAGGGAUCUACAUAUGAGAAUUUGUAUGUUAUAUGCAUAUAUGGUGUUUACAUUAUAUACACAUACAUAUAUAUGACAUCGUCUCAAAGUAUAUAGUUCAUGUAGAAUG
RNA transcript from Daucus carota subsp. sativus, 863 nucleotides. RefSeq lists it as uncharacterized. Lineage: Eukaryota; Viridiplantae; Streptophyta; Magnoliopsida; Apiales; Apiaceae. The record is from RefSeq and is a predicted model, not a curated record. The transcript is spliced from 3 exons.